CGAAUUUGCCUUAAUCUUGUUUUGUUGUUUCAAUAGCUAGUAAAAAUUACCUAUAUCGUGUUUAUAAUUAAUAUGACAACUGCUUAGAUGAAAAAGGUUUACUUUAGUGUGUUUAGUCCAAUACAUCAUCUCAAAAUAUAAAAGCAAACGGAAUAAUAUCAUUUAAACUUAUCAAGGUACAAGGCUUUUAAUGUGAUAUGACAGACGCACACGUUGUCUUGUUUAGCCACACAAAUGGCACUCGAAUCAAAACAUUUGAUCGAAGGCAAAAUGAAUACAAA
RNAcentral lists this long non-coding RNA (281 nucleotides) under Mytilus galloprovincialis (Mediterranean mussel). Lineage: Eukaryota; Metazoa; Mollusca; Bivalvia; Mytilida; Mytilidae. The record is from RNAcentral.